GUACCGUGGUAGUCACAUUUGGUGGUAGUUCUGAUUGUUUGCUAGAUUACGAGAUAAGACCAAGUGCUUCUGCAACUCGGUUGCGGAUUUGAUAGGAACAUGAAGACUUGUGCCAUGACAUGGAGCAUGUUCGAUUAAAAGGAGUAAGUCAACAUACAGCUUGUUUCUUAUAUUUUAUUUAGAGAAAAUGAUUGUUCCUUGUGUGUCAUUUACUUCUACAAAUGCAGCAUAGUUGCUCCAAUAUAUUGAGCAGGGAAGAAGUUUGUUACAAGUGUUUUAUAGAGUUGACGCAAGAGACAUCCGACGGGAUACAUUGGUAGGGACUUCGUGAAAGGCAGACUCCAUUUAAUCCUUUCCAGCUGCUUACUGAACAGUGAACACCAAGCCCUAUUUGAUAUGCUUAAUGAUUGACAUAUAGGUGAAGGAAUCGACGAAGAAGCUUCCGUUCAGCAUGGUAUCUCAGUGGAAGAAUAUCCGAAGCAAACCUCCGCUACUUCUCUGUUCCCUUUCAUUUUUCAUGGUAAGACCUUAGGAAGGUAGGAAGACCUUAGGAAGAGCGGGUGGGAGGAAGGGAGGCAUGCGCUAUAGAUGUAGGCGAACAACGCUUGGAAAUUAUUAGUACUCUACAAAACGUCUGUCCCCUAUGAUGCCUAGAAUGAGCGAUAGAGGGUGGAAGGAAGGGAGAGCGGAGGAAGGAAGAUGGGGAUAUAUGUAGAGAGAGGGAGACAGGAGGAAGGGAGAUGGGCAUAUAUGUAGAGAGAGGAAGAUCAGAGAGGGAGGGGAGAUUUACAGGACAAUUGUCGUUGAGCCACUCAAAUAUAUAUGUCUCUGUUGCAUCGCAUGGGCAAUUAACUAUAGAAAAAUUCAAGGCUAUUUUUUAAAGUGACAUCUAUUCAGCGUGUUCCAACCAUUACAUGCCUUAAUUAUAGAAUAAUCUAAUAUUAUGAUUUCUCCAGUGAGCAGUAUACUAUAUACUUAACUGGGACUUUGAAUUUGUGCUUCAGGAAAAUUUGAACAGACCUCGUCCACGCCGAUAGUUUCCAGGUACAUCAGGUUGAACAAUUUUGUUUAUGUUGUGAGUGGUCAAUAUUCUUUACCGCUGGCCACACAUCUCACUUUGUGUUGGUCCCCUAGAAUAUGCUAAUGUUUAGUUUACAAUUUUUCAACUAUCAAAUAUCAUUGGACUUUACAUGGUUUCUUGCAAAAUAAAAAAAAUAAAAUAGACUCAUAUGGCCCGAGUUUGUUUGCUCAGGAGGAUUCUUUCAUAGAUUAUAAUAGUCAGUGGCUUAAAAGUAUUGUCAGUGCUACAAACAUAAAUCUGAUGAAAGAAGAACAUAUUUGUACCUUAUUGCCGGCUGACUAUACACACAAGAACCUCGAAACUCUCAUUACUGCGUUAUAUAUUUAGUUGCAAUAGUAUUUGAUUUUUCAUGAAGCAAUAUGCUUACUGUUUCUUCAUUCAGUUUCAUGUGGCAAUGACAUGUGGAGGACGACGGUCACGAGCGCAUUGUCGCAAGCUCACGGGAGGGAGGCACACAUCUCAUCCAAUGGAAAAGCACGCUCCAAAAAAUCCCUAACCCUCCAUGGAGCCAUUGCUAGGGGACGACGAGAUCAACGCCACCCAUCACGACCACCAAGAUGUAGAAGGUAUGUCCUGGUGCUUUCCUAGAAUCUUUCCUGCCUCUUGAGAGACCACAUGGCGUUCUGGUGGCAGUUUUUGGCCAAGGCUGGAAGCCAAGAACACUUCUUAAUUUUGAUCAUGGACUUGACAUUGUGGUCGGCGGUGCGUGGUGCAGUGCGGAGAUUUCUUGCCUGGGGUAUAACAAUGCGUGUUCAAUGGGUCGCCUCUUCUCACGCACAAGUCUCAGAGGGAGACAACGACAGCUAUUCAGAAUAACCACAACAAAAUUGUGACAUAGGUGGUUAGUGGGAGAAGGAACCUGAGACCGCAGCCGAUUCUGCAGCAAGGGUGGUGUGUAGAAGAUAGUUGUAGCAAGCAUAUAUAUAAGUCACUCUGGAAAAAGUGUGUAGUUAUUGUUGUAAUAGAGAUCCAUUCCUAUAUUUUCACUGAUAUGCAUGGUUGAAU
This 2086-nucleotide long non-coding RNA is filed under the name Triticum aestivum (bread wheat). Its description in RNAcentral is "long non-coding RNA (TAES_LNC002836)". Lineage: Eukaryota; Viridiplantae; Streptophyta; Magnoliopsida; Poales; Poaceae. The record is from RNAcentral.